UCACUGCAUCUCUCUUUCUCUCUCUCAUCCUCUUUUUUUCUCUUUCUCUCUCUGCGCACAGGUUCAUGUUCUUCUUCCUCUUCCUCAACCAUAUCCAUCUUCAUCUUCUUCCACUAUCGUUGAGAUUUUGUAUUCGGUAACAUCGUCACCAUCCUCUUCUCAAUCAUAUGAUAUUUUUGUAUCCCACCAAAAUAAGAAUGAUGUGUGAAUCCGUUUCGGUAACAUCGUCACCAUCCUUUUCUCUUUUGUUUUUCCGUCCUCCAUCUCUUUUGAGGCAGUCUUUCUCUUUCUCUAACAAUGACGAAGAAGAUUGUUGAGGUAAGUUCUAACGCUGCCCUUAUUUUUGUUUUGGCAAAUUGAUGAGGUUAUGUGAAGAGUUGCAGCAGGGUCGGUUUGAAGUUGCAGGGUCGACAAAUUUUUGUUUGUGAUUUUUUGGUUUGAUUUUGUGAUUUUCGUUGAAAUUUUUUUGAUUUUUUCUCAAAUUGUUGUAUUCGAUGUAUUUCGUUGAUAAAGUUUUGAUUUUUAUAUGUUUUGAAGACACCCUUUUGUUUGUUUUUGUUAUAAAAGUAAUUAUGCAUGGUAAAUGAUAUUUUGUGGCUGAUUUGAUGAUUCAGUGGUUUGUUUUUCAGGAUAUAGACGCAGAUUCAGAUUCAAAAAUGCAGGCAUCGGUGGAAUCUGAUAUAUUAAAAUCACUUGAGAUAUAAGAAGCAGAGGCACGUGUAUGCACGAUGAGGCUAUUCCUCAUUACAUAGACAUGAUUGAUCAGACUACACUUGGACACCGAUUUCUAAAAUAGGAGUUUGGUGUGACUCCCAGAAUCGAGUGGCAAAUUGAUCCCUUUGGCCAUUCUGUUGUGCACGCUUACUUAUUGGGAGUUGAAGUAUGCCAUAAAACUUCAAACCAAUGGCUCAUUUGCUUAACAUUUUAUGAAAAAUAAAUUAACCAUCCAAGUAUAUUUUCAUACUGUGGAUGCAAGUUGGCUUUGAUUCAUUUUGCUUUGAUUCAAUGAGCAAAGAUGAUCAUAUUUGGAAUUAUGGUGAAGGGACUAAUGGUUCUGUUCAUAGCAGAUUUAAACCGAUUGUUGUUUCAUGUGGUUUCUUUGACAAGGCUACCUCUGUAACUGAGGCAUUCAAUGUUGCUGAUGAUAUUCUUUGACAAGGCGUUCGUGGCAUAUUUGAUAUUGUUACAAUAUUAAAUUGCAAAUAAUCUUUGAACAUUGAUACAUGCAUUCCUUUUGUUCCUGUAUUAUAUUUCUAUACAAAUUAAAAUUAAUAAUGGUCAUGUAGUACAAUGGUUCUGACCUACUAUAGUAUAGGUGUAAUUUCUUUUCUAUGUUUUAUGACUUUGAUCUAGCAGACUGAUAAAAGUGUUGUUGUUCCAAAUUUUGGUGAGUGGGAUGAGAAUGACCCUCAUUAUUUUUAUUUGACAGAACUGUUUUGUUUAGAGAAUAUAACUUUGUUAUUCUGUUUAGAGAACAACAUUUUUUCCUGUAGAAAUUAUUUAUAUUGUUGACUGCAUAUCCAAAACUCAUGAUUUGGAAGAUUGCUUAGAGUUGUGUUCUUAUUACGUUUCAGGUUUAGUGAGAUUCAGUGGGCUACUUUUGUUCUCCUGAUUGUUCUAAGCACUACAACUUAUUAGUGUUCAAAGUAAGACUAAUUCAAA
Molecule: long non-coding RNA, 1662 nt
Organism: Vicia villosa (hairy vetch)
Lineage: Eukaryota; Viridiplantae; Streptophyta; Magnoliopsida; Fabales; Fabaceae
Exons: 4
Source: RefSeq, a predicted model, not a curated record